GCCUGUUUGGCUCAGUGGAUUGAGCAUCAGCCUGCGGACUGAAGGAUCCCAGGUUUGAUUCCUGGUCAGGGCA
Molecule: non-coding RNA, 73 nt
Organism: Myotis lucifugus (little brown bat)
Lineage: Eukaryota; Metazoa; Chordata; Mammalia; Chiroptera; Vespertilionidae
Source: Rfam